UACGUAGGGGGCAAGCGUUGUCCGGAGUUACUGGCGUAAAGCGCACGCAGGCGGUCUUUUAAGUUUGGAGUGACAGUUGGUGGCUUAACUGCCAAAGUGCUUCGAAAACUGAGAGACUUGAGGGCUUCAGAGGGACACGGAAUUCCCGGUGUAGCAGUGAAAUGCGUAGAGAUCGGGAGGAACACCAGUGGCGAAGGCGGCUACCUGGACCAGCAUUGACACUCGAAGCACGAAAGCGUGGGGAGCAAACAGG
RNAcentral lists this ribosomal RNA (253 nucleotides) under uncultured bacterium. RNAcentral's name for it is "partial 16S ribosomal RNA". It matches the Rfam family "Bacterial small subunit ribosomal RNA", at positions 524 to 776 of the family's 1533-position model. The record is from RNAcentral.